GGCAACGGCUCCUUCCCCCUCCUUCCCGAUCCAUGCCCGCCCGCCCUCCGGCGUGUGACGGUGUCGGCGGCGCUGCGGGCCGGGAUGGCCCCGGCGGGGCGGGGAAGGGGAGCGGCCGCCAUUCCCGCUUAAGACCAUUCCACCUUGGCCUGUCACUGCAGGCCCUUGUGAUAAGUCCCUCUCCAGGGACACGGACGUACAGGGAAGAGCAGGGGAAUCAUAGGACCACCCCAGGAGUCACAGUGAGGUGUUAGGUCCUGGAAGCCUUUUUGAGAUSUCAGGAAAAGAACUGCACACACUGCUCAAUAUUCAGAGAACUAUGGAUUUAUACCAGGGCAGGUUCAUUUGUUACUGGAGUUGUUCCAUCCAGUUCUGRUUCAGCAAAACUUGAAAACAACUGAAGGUUCACAUCAAGCAUGGGUUUGAUUGACUCCCAAAGGGAGUUACAUCCAGGAUGGGUUGGAGCAAAAUAUGGACCUUCUUGGUUUAGUUCUUURUGAUAAACUCAGCAAUAAACAGAAUAUUUUUAUUUAACCCUAUUCUUGCAGCUGAAUAUAGCAAUGCAUCAACCAACAACAGGAACACUUAGAGAAAUUAGGUCAUUAAGAAAUGUCCUGUCACAGUAGCUACAACAUUUCUAAAUUAAUUCAGAGCUCCCAAAUCACAGAAU
This is a long non-coding RNA of Malurus melanocephalus (red-backed fairy wren), 670 nucleotides long. RefSeq lists it as uncharacterized. Lineage: Eukaryota; Metazoa; Chordata; Aves; Passeriformes; Maluridae. The transcript is spliced from 4 exons. The record is from RefSeq and is a predicted model, not a curated record.